This 1399-nucleotide non-coding RNA is filed under the name Drosophila sechellia. Its description in RNAcentral is "Eukaryotic small subunit ribosomal RNA". It matches the Rfam family "Eukaryotic small subunit ribosomal RNA", at positions 1 to 1320 of the family's 1831-position model. The record is from Rfam by way of RNAcentral. Lineage: Eukaryota; Metazoa; Arthropoda; Insecta; Diptera; Drosophilidae.
AUUCUGGUUGAUCCUGCCAGUAGUUAUAUGCUUGUCUCAAAGAUUAAGCCAUGCAUGUCUAAGUACACACGAAUUAAAAGUGAAACCGCAAAAGGCUCAUUAUAUCAGUUAUGGUUCCUUAGAUCGUUAACAGUUACUUGGAUAACUGUGGUAAUUCUAGAGCUAAUACAUGCAAUUAAAACAUGAACCUUAUGGGACAUGUGCUUUUAUUAGGCUAAAACCAAGCGAUCGCAAGAUCGUUAUAUUGGUUGAACUCUAGAUAACAUGCAGAUCGUAUGGUCUUGUACCGACGACAGAUCUUUCAAAUGUCUGCCCUAUCAACUUUUGAUGGUAGUAUCUAGGACUACCAUGGUUGCAACGGGUAACGGGGAAUCAGGGUUCGAUUCCGGAGAGGGAGCCUGAGAAACGGCUACCACAUCUAAGGAAGGCAGCAGGCGCGUAAAUUACCCACUCCCAGCUCGGGGAGGUAGUGACGAAAAAUAACAAUACAGGACUCAUAUCCGAGGCCCUGUAAUUGGAAUGAGUACACUUUAAAUCCUUUAACAAGGACCAAUUGGAGGGCAAGUCUGGUGCCAGCAGCCGCGGUAAUUCCAGCUCCAAUAGCGUAUAUUAAAGUUGUUGCGGUUAAAACGUUCGUAGUUGAACUUGUGCUUCAUACGGGUAGUACAACUUACAAUUGUGGUUAGUACUAUACCUUUAUGUAUGUAAGCGUAUUACCGGUGGAGUUCUUAUAUGUGAUUAAAUACUUGUAUUUUUUCAUAUGUUCCUCCUAUUUAAAAACCUGCACUAGUGCUCUUAAACGAGUGUUAUUGUGGGCCGGUACUAUUACUUUGAACAAAUUAGAGUGCUUAAAGCAGGCUUCAAAUGCCUGAAUAUUCUGUGCAUGGGAUAAUGAAAUAAGACCUCUGUUCUGCUUUCAUUGGUUUUCAGAUCAAGAGGUAAUGAUUAAUAGAAGCAGUUUGGGGGCAUUAGUAUUACGACGCGAGAGGUGAAAUUCUUGGACCGUCGUAAGACUAACUUAAGCGAAAGCAUUUGCCAAAGAUGUUUUCAUUAAUCAAGAACGAAAGUUAGAGGUUCGAAGGCGAUCAGAUACCGCCCUAGUUCUAACCAUAAACGAUGCCAGCUAGCAAUUGGGUGUAGCUACUUUUAUGGCUCUCUCAGUCGCUUCCCGGGAAACCAAAGCUUUUGGGCUCCGGGGGAAGUAUGGUUGCAAAGCUGAAACUUAAAGGAAUUGACGGAAGGGCACCACCAGGAGUGGAGCCUGCGGCUUAAUUUGACUCAACACGGGAAAACUUACCAGGUCCGAACAUAAGUGUGUAAGACAGAUUGAUAGCUCUUUCUCGAAUCUAUGGGUGGUGGUGCAUGGCCGUUUUUAGUUCGUGGAGUGAUUUGUCUGGUU